Molecule: transfer RNA, 75 nt
Filed under: Nostoc sp. RF31YmG
Lineage: Bacteria; Bacillati; Cyanobacteriota; Cyanophyceae; Nostocales; Nostocaceae
Description: Nostoc sp. RF31Y tRNA-Met
Rfam family: tRNA
About the family: Transfer RNA (tRNA) molecules are approximately 80 nucleotides in length. Their secondary structure includes four short double-helical elements and three loops (D, anti-codon, and T loops).
Source: RNAcentral
UGCAGUGUAACCUAACGGCAAGGUACUCGGCUCAUAACCGAGAUUAUGCGAGUUCAACUCUCGCCGCUGCGACCA